Epinephelus moara (kelp grouper) is the source of this 1237-nucleotide long non-coding RNA. RefSeq lists it as uncharacterized. The record is from RefSeq and is a predicted model, not a curated record. NCBI's taxonomy places the organism in Eukaryota, Metazoa, Chordata, Actinopteri, Perciformes, Serranidae. The transcript is spliced from 3 exons.
GCAGCUCCACCCCCUAACACCUGCCAGAGGACCUGAUAGAAGACAGGACGCCUCCACACAUUCAUCCACCUCCACCGCUGCUCUUCACCACUUCACCUCCUCUACUCCAGUCUCCAGUGAUCUGAUGAUCUGACUGGCUGAGGCAGGUGGAGCUGCAGGUGUUUCCACCACAGAAGAAGAGAAGGAAAAGGAGGGAAGGAACCAACGAAGAAGAAAGCUGAGAGAGACAGCUGAGGUUCAUCUGGACAGCAAACACCUCCAGGACUUCCAGGACCUCCAGGAUCUAUCACAGUCUGUCCUGAGCAUGUCGUCGUCUCAGAGCACAUCUGGACCCAAACAUCUGUGUCUGUGGCUCCACCGUUUCUCCUCACCCUCCCCUCCCCCUCCUCCUCCUCUUCCUCUCCCUGUCAGCUGUGGCGUCCCCUCCUCUCACCCGGCGUCUCGGCGUCUCCCCCUGCUGGUCGUCCCGCUGCUCUGCAGUCUGCUGCUGAUGCUGCUGCUGCUGCUGUGGAACUACCACUGCCUGUUCAUCUCCAACAUCUGCUCCCCACCGGAGGAGGUGCAGCAGGAGGAGGGGAAGAAGGGAGGGACCAUCGUGACCCCGUGGCAGUGAUGGCGGCGCCGCUCACACCUCCUGGAACCAGUCUGAACCGGCUCAGUCCUUAAGAAACCAGACAGAGAAGAUAAAGUUUGUCAGAGUUCAGAUUUUACAAUGUUUUACUUCAUAAUCUACAAAAACUACAAAACUACAAAAGUACAGAAACUCAAAACUACAAAAACUACAAAACUACAGAAAUUCAAAACUACAAAAACUACAAAACUACAGAAACUCAAAACUACAAAAACAACAAAACCACAUAAAGUCUGACAGAGAUGAUUUAACAGGAGAAGACGAGGACUGUCCACAUUAAAAUAUGAUCUGGAUGUUUCUCCUCCGCAGUCGUUGUUGUUGAGCAGCAGGUGGAGACAUCCUGAUUCUUUGUCCACAAACACUGGCUCCUACAUUUCCCAUGAUGCACCUGGAUAUAGUUUUUUUUUUUUUUUGUACAUUUCUGAAAAGUUUUAAUUGUAAUUGAAACCAAGGAAUCUAUCAAAUAAAAAUAAGAAUAUAAAAAGAUAAAAAAUAGGCAAAAUGUUUCAACGCAGACUGAUGACAUCACUGUGACAUCAUCAGGGUUAUUUUUCCUUCAGUGUGAAAAAAAGUGUUAGAAUUUACAAAAUAAAAGCUCCUCGAUCA